Molecule: long non-coding RNA, 3785 nt
Organism: Heterocephalus glaber (naked mole-rat)
Lineage: Eukaryota; Metazoa; Chordata; Mammalia; Rodentia; Bathyergidae
Source: Ensembl
AGAGUUCUGGAAGGAACAUGACAGCAUCCUUUCCUGGGGGGUCAACUGAGAAAUCCUGGGCCAAUGUCUCUCUGAGGACACUGAGAUCUGCCUGUGUACAGGAGAGAGGCUUUGAAGGCCAUGUAGAGGAGCCCGAGCCUUCAAUUGACCAACUCGAGUUACACAAGCCCUCUUGAAUGAAUUGAGUUUGUAAGUCAGGGGUCCACUGUAUACUGCUUUAAACACACUCUAGAUAGAGAUAGAGGAUACACCUUUGAAGCUGAGUUUUUAAAAUUAAAAAAGGGUGAGACCUGCCAAAAUACUAAAGCUAACAGGCACUUGCUAAAAUUCCUAUUUACGGUUACCAAAUGUUAUGGAUUGUUCUUGAAAUUCAAAUAAAAGACAGUGUAUGUUAAAAUAUGGGCGAAAGCACAGCGAUUACCAUGCAGUACAAAUGUAGCUCACGGACCAAGGAACUGUCACAAAUUCAGGUCACCCAGGAAGAGUGGGCGCGUGGCUGGAUAACUAAAAUCAAUAGACUCGAAAUUGUAUCCUCCCGCUGACAUACUCUAUCAUAACCCUAACACAGCACGCUUUUGCUCUUUUGUUCAAGCGGAGAAACACGCGGGAGUUUCCUGCGUCACAGCCUCGGUGGACGACAUUCAGUUUGAGGAGGCGGCGAGGAUCAGAUCUCUGCUUCCUGCCCGGCAUGGGAUGGGCAGCUGUCCUCUUCCCAGGCUCUUCCACCAUGUCAUAGAAAUGGACUGAAAGCCAAGAUCUUGGAGAUAGCCAAGAAUGGACUGAAAAUUAAAACCAAAUCAACAUGGACCAAAGGCUUAGCUAUGAAAACAACCUUUAAAACUGCCAGAAGAUAACGUGAGGAAGAUGCUUGAGGCCACAGACACCGGUAAGGAGCUGCAGAGCAGAACUCCAGUAACACGGGGAAUAACACCAAGAAUCAACAGAAGAGAUCACAUCAAAUUAAAAAGUUGUGCACAACAGAGGAAACAAUCAACAGAGUGAAGAGGCAGCCUAGAGAAUGAAAAAUACUUGCCAGCUACUAUCCUGAUAGAAGACAAAUAUCUAGCAUAUAUAAAGAAGUCAAAAAAUAACCCCAAAAAAAUAAAUAAUCCAAUCGAAAAAUGCACAGGGCUGGGGAUUUAACUCAGUGGUGCCGUCGCCUGCCUCGCAAGUGCAAGGUCCCGAGUUCGAUCCCCAGUACCACAAAAAAAAAAAACGAAAAACAAAAAAAUGCACAAAUGAACCCAAUAGACACUUCUUAAAAGAAGAAAUACAAGGAUCUGGUAAGCACAUGGAAAGUGUUCAUUAUCUUUAGUCGUUAGGGAAAUGCAAAUCAAUGUCGCAAUUCCAUCUUGCUCCAGUCAAAGUGGAUAUCAUUAAGGUCUCAAAACACUGCAUGUGCUGGCAAGGAUGCGGGGGGAAAGGAACCCUUCUACAUUGUUGGUGGGAGUGUAAAGUAGUUCAGCCACUGAAAAUACAAAUUUUGUUUGACCCAGCUAGCCCUCUCCCAAAUAUAUUCCUCAAAAAGUAAAAGACAUUAUAAUAUAGCGAUACCUACAUACCCAUAUUUAUAUCAGUGCAGUUCACAACAGGUGAGCACUAGAAACAGCUCAGAUACCCAACAACAGGAAAAUGGAUACCAAAAAGGUAGUAUACAUACACAGUGGAAUACUAUUCAGCCAUAAAGAAUAAAAUCAUAUCAUUUCAGGAAAAUGGUUGAUCUUCAGAUCAUAAUGUUACGUGAAAUAACUCAGACAAGUUAAGCAUCACAUGUUUCUCUUAUAUAAACAGCCCAAAAUAAAAAUAAAUUAGGAAAAAGAGAGGUGAUAGGAAACUUGGAGACAGACAUUUUGGAAAUUGGAAAGGUGAUUAGAUGAAGGGGAUGGCAGGAGUAGGGAUGAAAUGAAUUAAAAAGAUUCAGUGUUGGGCCGGGGAUUUAACUCAGUGGUUUCGCUGUCUGCUGUGCAAGCACAAGGACCCGAGUUCGAUCCCCGGUACCAAAAAAAAAAGAUUCAGUGUGAUACAUAUGUAUCAAUUCCCCAAAAUUAAUAUGACUAUUAUUCUUCACAAACACAUACAAUACUAAUAAAAGAAAAAAAUAUAUUUUCUGAAAGGCUCAUGAUAUCUACAAAGUGAGCACCUAUAAUAGCUCCACAAAAAUUAUAAACCAAGUGAAUAGAUAGAUGGUAGAUAGAUAGACAGACAGACCCCAGGUACUGCAUCCGGUCCCCACCCCUUCCUGUCUGGCAUUGGUCCCUGCCCUGGUUCCUGCCUGCCAUGACUAAGCACCUUUGCUCCAUCAAGCCUUUCCACCAUGAUGUCUUGACUUGCAGCCAACCAUGGACUGAAUUCCCUGAAACCAUGAGCUAAAUGCACCUCUUCUCUUUUAAGGUGUGGAUAUUUGGUAGUUUGUCCCAGGAAUAGGAAAGCUAAUGCACCUCUUUGUGAUAUAGCCUUCUGUGCCUUAUUUCGCUGACACCAAACCCAGUGUAUCCCAGAGCAGUGCCCUGUUAGAGCUGCUGAUGACAACAAACACCUGUGAGGGCAGAAAAGGCCUAAUGGUAAACGGACAGGGACAAGAAGGUCCCCUUCAGCUGUUCAAAAGCACCCGUUAUAUGGUUCCACUGUGUGUGUGUGUGUGUGCGUGUGCGUGUGUGUGCUUUCAUUGCAAAUGAUCCACUAUUUUAAAGAAUAAACCAGGAGCAAUGUUCAAAGACAGUCAUAUGGGCCAUAGGCAAAAGGAUGACCACAGUGUGUCCUAUAGCACCACCUUCUGGGGACGUCUAGCCGGACUCUGCAAACACCCACCAGGAGUUUGCGUUCACUGAUAGAUUCUCAUCCCUGGGCCAAGGGAGAGGGGUGAGUUCAAGUCUCAGACACACUGUCCAGGGUGGACAUAACCUAAACUAUAAAAACUAAAGAUUAAAAUACAAAGAAGUAUAAGUUAAUCUGGCUACUUCUAAGAGAACAUACAUUCAUCAUAACUGAUAACAUUAUGCCACUGACUCAUAGGGGGGUUAAAUUAAUUCUGUGGGUUAGAACACCACAAAUACUAGUGUCCACUUCCAUCUAAGAUCUUUAUUCUCUAACGUUCUUGGUCCUAUUGAAAGAUUUCAGUGUGUAAGAAAUACUGCAGUUAAUAUCCAAGAGAAAAGCCAUCAUCAUGUGUAUACUGGUUAUCAUGGUCAGUGUGGUACAGCUUUUUUAAAAAAUGAGCUGUCAUGCCAUUCAAAAAAGGAAAAAAGUCUCAACACCAUUGCAAAUGCCCAUGGCUGCAAUGCCUGAGAUACAAACUAAGAAUCCAGAGACUCCUCGCUCCGUGUAGAGAACGCACAUAAGAACACCAGGGGGCCACAUGGCAAAGGCAGAGCCUCUCACCUCAAGGAACAACAGCUACCAACUCAGAGCACCUGUCCUAAGAAGCCACUCCCGUUCUUGACAUCGGAUUAACUCUUUUUUUUGUUGUUGUUGUUACCGGGGAUUGAACUUGGGUCCUUGUGCUUGUGCAGCAGGCGGCAAAACCACUGAGCUAAAUCCCCGGCCCAACAUCGGAUUAACUCUUAGCAAGACAUAAAUGCCAACACUGAGAGCUCAGGAACACAGCCCAGAAAUGCAACAUCAAAAUUCAACCUCGGGCAGGUUUGACUCCAAGCACAUGGCCUUAACACCAUAAAACUGCCUCUGAAUACUGAAUAGUUCCUCUGGUGUGAGAAACUGAAAGUGUAUAUAAGGACUAAAGUGUAUAAGAGGUAAUGUGAAAUAGGAAGAAAAGGGGCAAAGGGGAA